GAGGGUAUAGCUCAGUGGUAGAGUGCAUGCCUAGCAUGCAUGAGGUCCUGCGUUCAAUCCCCAGUACUUCCA
This 72-nucleotide transfer RNA is filed under the name Camelus bactrianus (Bactrian camel). It matches the Rfam family "tRNA". Rfam says of the family: Transfer RNA (tRNA) molecules are approximately 80 nucleotides in length. Their secondary structure includes four short double-helical elements and three loops (D, anti-codon, and T loops). Further hydrogen bonds mediate the characteristic L-shaped molecular structure. tRNAs have two regions of fundamental functional importance: the anti-codon, which is responsible for specific mRNA codon recognition, and the 3' end, to which the tRNAs corresponding amino acid is attached (by aminoacyl-tRNA synthetases). tRNAs cope with the degeneracy of the genetic code in two manners: having more than one tRNA (with a specific anti-codon) for a particular amino acid; and 'wobble' base-pairing, i.e. permitting non-standard base-pairing at the 3rd anti-codon position. RNAcentral also lists the same sequence under 2 other names. Lineage: Eukaryota; Metazoa; Chordata; Mammalia; Artiodactyla; Camelidae. The record is from Rfam by way of RNAcentral.